Molecule: ribosomal RNA, 420 nt
Filed under: uncultured bacterium
Lineage: Bacteria
Description: bacterial SSU rRNA
Rfam family: Bacterial small subunit ribosomal RNA
Source: RNAcentral
CUCAACCGAGGGAGCGCGCUGGAAACUGCGGGACUGGAGUAGAGGAGAGGAAGCCAGAAUUCCCAGUGUAGGGGUGAAAUCUGUAGAUAUUGGGAAGAAUACCGAUGGCGAAGGCAGGCUUCUGGCCUCUUACUGACGCUGAGGCGCGAAAGCGUGGGGAGCAAACAGGAUUAGAUACCCUGGUAGUCCACGCCGUAAACGAUGUGCACUAGGUGUUGGGGCGUUAGCCCUGGUGCCGUAGCUAACGUGUUAAGUGCACCGCCUGGGGAGUAUGCUCGCAAGGGUGAAACUCAAAGGAAUUGACGGGGGCCCGCACAAGCGGUGGAGCAUGUGGUUUAAUUCGAUGGUACGCGAGGAACCUUACCAGGGUUUGACAUCAGCCGGAAUGUCUGAGCGAUCAGACAGCCACUUCGGUGGCCG